UCGGAGAGUUUGAUCCUGGCUCAGGAUGAACGCUGGCGGCGUGCCUAAUACAUGCAAGUCGAGCGAACUGAUUAGAAGCUUGCUUCUAUGACGUUAGCGGCGGACGGGUGAGUAACACGUGGGCAACCUGCCUGUAAGACUGGGAUAACUUCGGGAAACCGAAGCUAAUACCGGAUAGGAUCUUCUCCUUCAUGGGAGAUGAUUGAAAGAUGGUUUCGGCUAUCACUUACAGAUGGGCCCGCGGUGCAUUAGCUAGUUGGUGAGGUAACGGCUCACCAAGGCAACGAUGCAUAGCCGACCUGAGAGGGUGAUCGGCCACACUGGGACUGAGACACGGCCCAGACUCCUACGGGAGGCAGCAGUAGGGAAUCUUCCGCAAUGGACGAAAGUCUGACGGAGCAACGCCGCGUGAGUGAUGAAGGCUUUCGGGUCGUAAAACUCUGUUGUUAGGGAAGAACAAGUACAAGAGUAACUGCUUGUACCUUGACGGUACCUAACCAGAAAGCCACGGCUAACU
RNAcentral lists this ribosomal RNA (517 nucleotides) under Priestia megaterium. RNAcentral's name for it is "bacterial SSU rRNA". It matches the Rfam family "Bacterial small subunit ribosomal RNA", at positions 1 to 502 of the family's 1533-position model. The record is from RNAcentral. Lineage: Bacteria; Bacillati; Bacillota; Bacilli; Caryophanales; Bacillaceae.